RNAcentral lists this ribosomal RNA (253 nucleotides) under uncultured bacterium. RNAcentral's name for it is "partial 16S ribosomal RNA". It matches the Rfam family "Bacterial small subunit ribosomal RNA", at positions 524 to 776 of the family's 1533-position model. The record is from RNAcentral.
UACGUAGGGGGCCAGCGUUGCUCGGAAUGACUGGGCGUAAAGGGCGCGUAGGCGGUUUGGUCAGUUAGGCGUGAAAUUCCUGGGCUCAACCUGGGGACUGCGCUUAAUACAGCCAGACUUGAGUGUGAAAGAGGGUCGUGGAAUUCCCAGUGUAGAGGUGAAAUUCGUAGAUAUUGGGAAGAACACCGGUGGCGAAGGCGGCGACCUGGUUCACAACUGACGCUGAGGCGCGAAAGCCAGGGGAGCAAACGGG